CUUGGCUCCUUCAGGACGGCCUUGUCGCCAUCACUGCCGUGUGCCCAGGGCCUAGAAGAACAGCCGGCGCACAGUAGUUUCUCAUCAGGUAAAUGGUGAUAACCAACCUCACAGAUGGUUGGGAAAAUGAGAUGAGAUAAUACACAGGAAGUGCAGCUCCUGACGAAGAAUGAGGAGUCCAUCCAUGGAAGCCACCAUCAUUCGUGUGUCGUGUGAAUUUCUGGUCCUAACCUGAAGGGAGAGGAGAGAGAAGACUGAGGAUUGGUGCUGAAAGACAUCCAAGACCUUGUUUUCUUCCUCCUCCUUCUCCCGAGAGAACCCUGGACUUACUUCAGGGGAAAACUACAUCACGCAAUGUUCUGUCUCCAUUGCUUUGCCAGAAAUUCCUCAUGACAGAUUCUGAUGCACCAGAUCGAGCCACCUCGCUGAGUGGCACCUAUUUGCAGAAGUCAUUAAAAGCCAUUGUUUAACUAAAGGCUUUUCUUCUUCCUUACAAUUUUCAAGACCCUGAAUUUGUACAGACCUGACUCAGCAACAUUGUAUUUUGGGAAUUUGCUACCUCUUCUCAGAUUCUGGACUGCGGUUCCCUAGUUUGCUGCUCUCGGCUCAGGAAUGGCUGUUACCUAGAUUUUGGCUCCAGAUCGGAAGUACUCUUGCCACAAAAAGACACAUCUUUGUACCAGGGCUCUGCCCCACCUGCUGGGUGCCUGGAUGACCCGGUUCCCCUUCCCUCUUGCCUCAUGGACAAAUUAACAUUUCCACAAUUGUAAAUUGUUGCCUUCCUAGGAAAGUAGCCAUUUGCCAGAGUGGUAAAGAUUUUGAAUAGAAUACACGCGCACACAGCCCUUUCUCUCUCUCUUUCUCUCUCUCCUUCUCUCCUUAAAUGGGAUCAUGACUGGAAAGCACCCAGCAUAGUGGCUGUCACAGAGGCCAGAACUCAAUAAAUAUUAUCGACGACUGCUAAUGCUAUAAUCAUCAUGUUCGAAAGGAAAC
Molecule: long non-coding RNA, 993 nt
Filed under: Equus asinus (donkey)
Lineage: Eukaryota; Metazoa; Chordata; Mammalia; Perissodactyla; Equidae
Description: lncRNA (ENSEASG00005034275.1)
Source: RNAcentral